GAUGAACGCUGGCGGCGUGCCUAAUACAUGCAAGUCGAGCGAACAGACGAGGAGCUUGCUCCUCUGACGUUAGCGGCGUACGGGUGAGUAACACGUGGAUAACCUACCUAUAAGACUGGCAUAACUUCGGGAAACCGGAGCUAAUACCGGAUAAUAUAUUGAACCGCAUGGUUCAAUAGUGAAAGACGGUUUUGCUGUCACUUAUAGAUGGAUCCGCGCCGCAUUAGCUAGUUGGUAAGGUAACGGCUUACCAAGGCAACGAUGCGUAGCCGACCUGAGAGGGUGAUCGGCCACACUGGAACUGAGACACGGUCCAGACUCCUACGGGAGGCAGCAGUAGGGAAUCUUCCGCAAUGGGCGAAAGCCUGACGGAGCAACGCCGCGUGAGUGAUGAAGGUCUUCGGAUCGUAAAACUCUGUUAUUAGGGAAGAACAAAUGUGUAAGUAACUAUGCACGUCUUGACGGUACCUAAUCAGAAAGCCACGGCUAACUACGUG
This 497-nucleotide ribosomal RNA is filed under the name uncultured bacterium. RNAcentral's name for it is "partial 16S ribosomal RNA". It matches the Rfam family "Bacterial small subunit ribosomal RNA", at positions 28 to 507 of the family's 1533-position model. The record is from RNAcentral.